GCAAGUCGAACGAGAACGGGUUAAAGUUUACUUUAACUGUCAGCUAAGUGGCGCACGGGUGAGUAAUAUAUAGUUAAUCUGCCCUAGAGAAGGGGAUAACGUUUGGAAACGAACGCUAAUACCCUAUAUGCCUUUAUAACAUAAGUUAGCAAGGGAAAUAUUUAUAGCUCUAGGAUGAGACUGUACAGUAUCAGUUAGUUGGUGAGGUAAUGGCUCACCAAGACUAUGACACUUAACUGGUUUGAGAGGAUGAUC
RNAcentral lists this ribosomal RNA (255 nucleotides) under uncultured bacterium. RNAcentral's name for it is "partial 16S ribosomal RNA". It matches the Rfam family "Bacterial small subunit ribosomal RNA", at positions 57 to 305 of the family's 1533-position model. The record is from RNAcentral.